Molecule: small RNA, 64 nt
Filed under: Foraminifera environmental sample
Lineage: Eukaryota; Foraminifera
Description: partial Mitochondrion-encoded tmRNA
Source: RNAcentral
ACCAACAGGAUGGACAUUAAAAAAUAAAUUAAAUGAUGGGAAUUAUCAUAUUAAACCAAAAAAA